Molecule: ribosomal RNA, 497 nt
Filed under: uncultured bacterium
Lineage: Bacteria
Description: partial 16S ribosomal RNA
Rfam family: Bacterial small subunit ribosomal RNA
Source: RNAcentral
GGGGGGGGGGGGGGGGGGGCGUGGGGGGUGCGGGGCGGGGGGGCGGGUGAGGAGGUUGCUCCUGUGACGUUAGCGGCGGACGGGUGAGUAACACGUGGGUAACCUACCUAUAAGACUGGGAUAACUUCGGGAAACCGGAGCUAAUACCGGAUAACAUUUGGAACCGCAUGGUUCUAAAGUGAAAGAUGGUUUUGCUAUCACUUAUAGAUGGACCCGCGCCGUAUUAGCUAGUUGGUAAGGUAACGGCUUACCAAGGCGACGAUACGUAGCCGACCUGAGAGGGUGAUCGGCCACACUGGAACUGAGACACGGUCCAGACUCCUACGGGAGGCAGCAGUAGGGAAUCUUCCGCAAUAGGCGAAAGCCUGACGGAGCAACGCCGCGUGAGUGAUGAAGGGUUUCGGCUCGUAAAACUCUGUUAUUAGGGAAGAACAAAUGUGUAAGUAACUGUGCACGUCUUGACGGUACCUAAUCAGAAAGCCACGGCUAACUACGUG